GGCUCAGGAUGAACGCUAGCUACAGGCUUAACACAUGCAAGUCGAGGGGCAGCAUGAGAUUAGCUUGCUAAUCUUGAUGGCGACCGGCGCACGGGUGCGUAACACGUAUCCAAUCUACCCAUGGCUCGGGGAUAGCCUUUCGAAAGAAAGAUUAAUACCCGAUGGUCUGCGAUUGAGACAUCUCGAUUGCAGUAAAGACUUGUCGGCGAUGGAUGGGGAUGCGUCCGAUUAGCUAGUUGGCGGGGUAACGGCCCACCAAGGCAACGAUCGGUAGGGGUUCUGAGAGGAAGGUCCCCCACACUGGAACUGAGACACGGUCCAGACUCCUACGGGAGGCAGCAGUGAGGAAUAUUGGUCAAUGGGCGAUGGCCUGAACCAGCCAAGUAGCCGUGAGGGACGACGGCCCUACGGGUUGUAAACCUCUUUUGUAUGGGAAUAAAGUGAGGCACGUGUGCCUUUUUGUAUGUACCUUACGAAUAAGCAUCGGCUAAUUCCGUGCCAGCCGCAGC
RNAcentral lists this ribosomal RNA (509 nucleotides) under uncultured bacterium. RNAcentral describes it as "bacterial SSU rRNA". It matches the Rfam family "Bacterial small subunit ribosomal RNA", at positions 21 to 518 of the family's 1533-position model. The record is from RNAcentral.